Long non-coding RNA from Spea bombifrons (plains spadefoot toad), 352 nucleotides. RefSeq lists it as uncharacterized. Lineage: Eukaryota; Metazoa; Chordata; Amphibia; Anura; Pelobatidae. The transcript is spliced from 2 exons. The record is from RefSeq and is a predicted model, not a curated record.
GUCAAGCUGCCCUUCAUGCUACGACGGAAUGCUGGACCUCAUCUCGCUGCUGUUGCUUCUGAAUGAUCCAAGAAGAUUCCACAGGGACAGGUGGCUCACCGGCUGAGAGCGGACAACCGUCCCUGAGGUCUUCUGCUAAGAUGCCCACCGGAGCGAAAGGAACCAAGUAAAUCUCCCCAAUGUGGAUGCAAUUCAUGUGCCCAAGUGAUGAACGUCUCACGAAAUGCCCCAUUUCUAGUGGGAAUCCUUCUGUAACCUUAUGUGUUUUUCUGAGAGUUUAGAUGUGUGAAAUAUCUCAAAGCUGAUGUGUUUAUAAUUCUAUGUAAAUAAAAAAAAAAAUACUUUGUGUUUA